RNAcentral lists this transfer RNA (73 nucleotides) under Ovis aries (sheep). It matches the Rfam family "tRNA". From Rfam's summary of the family: Transfer RNA (tRNA) molecules are approximately 80 nucleotides in length. Their secondary structure includes four short double-helical elements and three loops (D, anti-codon, and T loops). Further hydrogen bonds mediate the characteristic L-shaped molecular structure. tRNAs have two regions of fundamental functional importance: the anti-codon, which is responsible for specific mRNA codon recognition, and the 3' end, to which the tRNAs corresponding amino acid is attached (by aminoacyl-tRNA synthetases). tRNAs cope with the degeneracy of the genetic code in two manners: having more than one tRNA (with a specific anti-codon) for a particular amino acid; and 'wobble' base-pairing, i.e. permitting non-standard base-pairing at the 3rd anti-codon position. Lineage: Eukaryota; Metazoa; Chordata; Mammalia; Artiodactyla; Bovidae. The record is from Rfam by way of RNAcentral.
UCCCUGGUGGUUCAGUGGCUAAGACUCUGCACAUCCAAUGCAGGGGGUCGGGGUUUGAUCCCUGGUCAGGGAA